UGUCGGACGGCCAAAGUUGAAAGUAAAGACGACUGACAGUGUCAGAGCCGUGUCUGACCCUUCCCAGACAUCUAAAAAUCCUGUCGGACGGCCAAAGUCGAAAGUAAAGACGACUGACAAUGUCAGAGCCGUGUCUGACCCUUCCCAGACAUCAAAAGCUCAAACGGACAUUGUCACUGAGGCCACAGGCCAUGUACGUAAUGAGGACAUUAUACAGGC
Long non-coding RNA from Rhinichthys klamathensis goyatoka, 219 nucleotides. RefSeq lists it as uncharacterized. NCBI's taxonomy places the organism in Eukaryota, Metazoa, Chordata, Actinopteri, Cypriniformes, Leuciscidae. The transcript is spliced from 3 exons. The record is from RefSeq and is a predicted model, not a curated record.